This is a long non-coding RNA of Bactrocera oleae (olive fruit fly), 1659 nucleotides long. RefSeq lists it as uncharacterized. Lineage: Eukaryota; Metazoa; Arthropoda; Insecta; Diptera; Tephritidae. The record is from RefSeq and is a predicted model, not a curated record.
AAGCUCUCACCGGCAAAACCGAACAAUUGCAACACCACCUCUAAGCAGAUUGCAACCGCGAACGUGCGACUGUUGGCUGCUGGCUGUUGGCGGUGCGCAUGGCGCGGAGCCUGGCGCGUCUGUCGCAGCCUUAGCCACAGUCAAAGCCACGACUAUUGCCGUUACCAACCGUGUGUGCCGCUUACAAGACACUUUCAGCUUACACAGCAAACGUAAUCGGAAGAAUAAUAAUAGGAAGAGGAACAACAAUAAAAAAGUUACCGAAAAAAAAAAAACAGCAAUUCACUUACAACAAAACGAGCGUACGAAGCAGCGCACGAACUAACUUACGAAUCUGCUGCCAAGUCAACGAAUCGUGAAAAAGCCGAAGCGUAAAUUGUUUGUGUCACAUUGUGGCCGUGGAGUCGGAGUCAGUUUGUUUUUAUACGUGGUCCACAGAACAUGUGAGGCUCGUUGUAACGGACUUGAGCGGAUAACGACGCGCGCUACUAAAACGCAAUUACGCUGUUACGCCGUUACGUGUUAACCCCCCUCGAAAAAUUCUAAUUAAAUUUGCGAGUACCGUUAGAGGAAAAAAAAACGCGUCGAAAUUGAUGACGAUCGCUCAGUGUGACGACAAGUUAACGGGUUUUCUAGUGUAUGCAAGCGAGCGUGCGUGCCUGCGUGUGUGUGUAACGUGUGAGCGGUGGUCGGACAUUUGACGGGUUAACGGAUUUCGGUGUGGACAUUAGUGAAGCGUGAACGGUGAACGGCGAACGGAAGAAAGGCUUGCGAAGCAAAUGCAAACGGAAGUGGAAGUGAGAGCGCGCAGUCGAAUGUGAUUAAGUAGAGAAAGCGGGGCGGGGACGUGUGCAGUGUCAGCAGAACAGCUUAAAUUAAGUGAGACACUCACACACACACUCAUACAUAUAUUAUAUAUAUUUAAUAGGUGGGCACGGUUCGUUAACUGGCAUUUGAAUGCGGCUGUGGUUGCUGGAAUCUUUUUGUGUGAAGAAGCAAAACAACAACAAAUAAUAAAAGUGCUACAAAUUUAAUUUUGAAGUGUGUGCGAAUAACGAAAAUUUUAAUUUACAAACCAAAAAAAAAAAAAACGAUUAGAUUAAUUUACACUAAACUUAUAGAAAUUUAAUAUUUAUGUGAUAAGCAAUAAUAACAAAAUAUAUAUAACAUAUAUAUAUAUAUACAUUUGUGCAAUGUGUACUGAUUUUUGUUAAAAUUUCCAUAAAAAUACUUUGUAUAUAUCAUACUAGUCCAUCAGACCGCUGUAAAACUUAUGAAAUUCAAUAAAAAUAUAACUGCUAUAAAUUUUAUAAACAUCACAUAUAUGUAUAUAUGCAAAACCUUCUUAAAAAAUACCGUUAGUUACGUCCAUAACUACUUUAAUAUGAAUUUUGAUAAAUAUGCUAGUUUGCUGGUGAACUGUAUAUAAUAUGCACCGUUUUUCGGGGAAUUUGUAAAUUAUUGCUAAGCAGGACUGAAAUUAGGGAAUUUAUUAAGCACGAAUCAAACAAAGUUUGGUGAACGUGUAAAAUUUAGCAGCAGAAAGCAAAAAGUCGGCGGCGCGUAAAAAUAUAUGUGUAAAUAUAAUGUGAUGCUGAUAUUUCACAACGAAAAGUGCUAACAUAAUCAAUAACAAUAAAAAAAUAGUGUGACUUAAGG